This is a non-coding RNA of Stygiomarasmius scandens, 86 nucleotides long. Lineage: Eukaryota; Fungi; Basidiomycota; Agaricomycetes; Agaricales; Campanellaceae. The record is from the annotation of a GenBank genome assembly.
GUUCUCGUAGCUAAGUGGUAUAGCGUGGGAUUGCAAACACUUGCAGUUACAUCCCGAGGUCGCGUGUUCGAUCCACGCCGGGAACU